This 1260-nucleotide long non-coding RNA is filed under the name Sus scrofa (pig). RNAcentral's name for it is "lncRNA (ENSSSCG00005027905.1)". The record is from RNAcentral. Lineage: Eukaryota; Metazoa; Chordata; Mammalia; Artiodactyla; Suidae.
CCCAGAGGCCAAGAGUUCCAGUCCCAUCUGUGCCAUGACUUGUGUGACAUUGGGCAAGUAGCUUAAUCACUUGGUGGCUUCAUUUCCUUGUUCACAAUAUGUGGUAUGACAGUAUUAACCUACCUUGCUGGAAUUUUAUAAAAAUAAAAUUACUAUUUGCCAUGUCUAUAUAUUUCAGCUGCAGACUGCUUCCAGGACUACCUAGUUUGGGGAUGGUCACCAGAAGCAUGAGGCUCUGUUUUAUCAGAUUAGCAGCCCCUGCAAAAUGAGAAUUCUUCUUAGCAAGUCCCAGAAAUGAUCCUGUUGGCACAAACUCAUCUCUAAAUCUACCAGUGACUCCAAAGGACUGGAUUUGGCCACAUGUACAUUUCUGUAAAAGCCUUGGGGGUGGUACCAACCUCAUCCAAACCAGCUGAGAGGAACCUGGAGGAAAACUAGAGUUCCCUAGAGGAAAACUGAAGUGUCAAUACAAGGACAAGGUGGGUGGAUGUAAAUAAGUGAGAGAUGAUGUCCUGUUAUGGUACAGAUCUUUCAGCCCAGUUUUAUCAUUGUACUUAUUUGGAAACCAGGUUAAGUCACAAUAAGCAGUAAAGAGCAGAGCCAAGAUUUCCCACUUUCUACCCCUUUGCCCCGUCCUCUCUACUGUGUUACUGCCCCUUCUGACAAACUAGAAAUGAAUCAAACAUCAAGCCUCUGUAACACUUGCUUAUUGGAAUAUCUUCUUAAACACUGUAUUUCAGAUAUUAAACUUAAAGGAGCUGUAAUUGCACAUUGAUCAUCUUUGAAUCUCCUACAUCGACUGCUCAGAGUAAGAAAACCACAUUCCUUCUGUGAGAGUAAUCCUUGCUCCUCCUUUCCUCUUUGGGGGGACAAGUUGAAGCUGGAUAAAGCAAAGCUGCUGAUCUACUUGGAAAAAGUUUGAGCCCUAACCAGGUGAUCCCAUGAGUGAGGUGGAUGUCCUGUGCAUGGAGGGGUUCACACCAGCCUCUGAUCUCCUUUGUGAUCAUAUUUUAUCCCAAGAACUUGAUUAAUAGUCUAGACUGAGUUCCUCCCUUGGGGCGAGAUUGUUGCCCUCCCCCUUUUCCCAGGCGCAGCACUAUCCCUGUGGACAGGUAUGGGCAUGCAUCAGAAAUCUGGAGGCUUGCCCAAAAAAGUAUGUCUGCUGUUUGUGAAGGGGCAAUGUAGUAAUUACCUGUGAGUAAUGCAGGGCAGAUCUGCUAUGAGAAAUUCAAGCUGAAAAAAGAAGGCUUUCCUUUUCUU